UGCCAGCCGCCGCGGUAACACGUAGGCACCAAGCGUUGUCCGGAUUUAUUGGGCGUAAAGAGCUCGUAGGCGGUUCAGUUAGUCGGGUAUGAAAACUCUGGGCUCAACCCAGAGAGGCUACCCGAUACUGCUGUGACUAGAGUACGGUAGGGGAGUGGGGAAUUCCUGGUGUAGCGGUGAAAUGCGCAGAUAUCAGGAGGAACACCAGUGGCGAAGGCGCCACUCUGGGCCGUAACUGACGCUGAGGAGCGAAAGCAUGGGUAGCAAACAGGAUUAGAUA
This 280-nucleotide ribosomal RNA is filed under the name uncultured bacterium. Its description in RNAcentral is "partial 16S ribosomal RNA". It matches the Rfam family "Bacterial small subunit ribosomal RNA", at positions 506 to 784 of the family's 1533-position model. The record is from RNAcentral.